RNAcentral lists this ribosomal RNA (2104 nucleotides) under Escherichia coli. RNAcentral's name for it is "partial 23S ribosomal RNA". It matches the Rfam family "Bacterial large subunit ribosomal RNA", at positions 612 to 2701 of the family's 2925-position model. The record is from RNAcentral. Lineage: Bacteria; Pseudomonadati; Pseudomonadota; Gammaproteobacteria; Enterobacterales; Enterobacteriaceae.
AUAAUGGGUCAGCGACUUAUAUUCUGUAGCAAGGUUAACCGAAUAGGGGAGCCGAAGGGAAACCGAGUCUUAACUGGGCGUUAAGUUGCAGGGUAUAGACCCGAAACCCGGUGAUCUAGCCAUGGGCAGGUUGAAGGUUGGGUAACACUAACUGGAGGACCGAACCGACUAAUGUUGAAAAAUUAGCGGAUGACUUGUGGCUGGGGGUGAAAGGCCAAUCAAACCGGGAGAUAGCUGGUUCUCCCCGAAAGCUAUUUAGGUAGCGCCUCGUGAAUUCAUCUCCGGGGGUAGAGCACUGUUUCGGCAAGGGGGUCAUCCCGACUUACCAACCCGAUGCAAACUGCGAAUACCGGAGAAUGUUAUCACGGGAGACACACGGCGGGUGCUAACGUCCGUCGUGAAGAGGGAAACAACCCAGACCGCCAGCUAAGGUCCCAAAGUCAUGGUUAAGUGGGAAACGAUGUGGGAAGGCCCAGACAGCCAGGAUGUUGGCUUAGAAGCAGCCAUCAUUUAAAGAAAGCGUAAUAGCUCACUGGUCGAGUCGGCCUGCGCGGAAGAUGUAACGGGGCUAAACCAUGCACCGAAGCUGCGGCAGCGACGCUGAUGCGUUGUUGGGUAGGGGAGCGUUCUGUAAGCCUGUGAAGGUGUGCUGUGAGGCAUGCUGGAGGUAUCAGAAGUGCGAAUGCUGACAUAAGUAACGAUAAAGCGGGUGAAAAGCCCGCUCGCCGGAAGACCAAGGGUUCCUGUCCAACGUUAAUCGGGGCAGGGUGAGUCGACCCCUAAGGCGAGGCCGAAAGGCGUAGUCGAUGGGAAACAGGUUAAUAUUCCUGUACUUGGUGUUACUGCGAAGGGGGGACGGAGAAGGCUAUGUUGGCCGGGCGACGGUUGUCCCGGUUUAAGCGUGUAGGCUGGUUUUCCAGGCAAAUCCGGAAAAUCAAGGCUGAGGCGUGAUGACGAGGCACUACGGUGCUGAAGCAACAAAUGCCCUGCUUCCAGGAAAAGCCUCUAAGCAUCAGGUAACAUCAAAUCGUACCCCAAACCGACACAGGUGGUCAGGUAGAGAAUACCAAGGCGCUUGAGAGAACUCGGGUGAAGGAACUAGGCAAAAUGGUGCCGUAACUUCGGGAGAAGGCACGCUGAUAUGUAGGUGAAGUCCCUCGCGGAUGGAGCUGAAAUCAGUCGAAGAUACCAGCUGGCUGCAACUGUUUAUUAAAAACACAGCACUGUGCAAACACGAAAGUGGACGUAUACGGUGUGACGCCUGCCCGGUGCCGGAAGGUUAAUUGAUGGGGUCAGCGCAAGCGAAGCUCUUGAUCGAAGCCCCGGUAAACGGCGGCCGUAACUAUAACGGUCCUAAGGUAGCGAAAUUCCUUGUCGGGUAAGUUCCGACCUGCACGAAUGGCGUAAUGAUGGCCAGGCUGUCUCCACCCGAGACUCAGUGAAAUUGAACUCGCUGUGAAGAUGCAGUGUACCCGCGGCAAGACGGAAAGACCCCGUGAACCUUUACUAUAGCUUGACACUGAACAUUGAGCCUUGAUGUGUAGGAUAGGUGGGAGGCUUUGAAGUGUGGACGCCAGUCUGCAUGGAGCCGGCCUUGAAAUACCACCCUUUAAUGUUUGAUGUUCUAACGUUGACCCGUGAUCCGGGUUGCGGACAGUGUCUGGUGGGUAGUUUGACUGGGGCGGUCUCCUCCUAAAGAGUAACGGAGGAGCACGAAGGUUGGCUAAUCCUGGUCGGACAUCAGGAGGUUAGUGCAAUGGCAUAAGCCAGCUUGACUGCGAGCGUGACGGCGCGAGCAGGUGCGAAAGCAGGUCAUAGUGAUCCGGUGGUUCUGAAUGGAAGGGCCAUCGCUCAACGGAUAAAAGGUACUCCGGGGAUAACAGGCUGAUACCGCCCAAGAGUUCAUAUCGACGGCGGUGUUUGGCACCUCGAUGUCGGCUCAUCACAUCCUGGGGCUGAAGUAGGUCCCAAGGGUAUGGCUGUUCGCCAUUUAAAGUGGUACGCGAGCUGGGUUUAGAACGUCGUGAGACAGUUCGGUCCCUAUCUGCCGUGGGCGCUGGAGAACUGAGGGGGGCUGCUCCUAGUACGAGAGGACCGGAGUGGA